GUCUACGGCCAUGCCACCCUGAAUGUGCCCGAUCCCGUCUGAUCUUGGAAGCUCAGCAGGGUCAGGCCUGGUUCGUACUUGGAUGGGAGACCACCUUGGAAUAUCAGAUGCUGUGGGCG
This 119-nucleotide ribosomal RNA is filed under the name Pteropus alecto (black flying fox). Lineage: Eukaryota; Metazoa; Chordata; Mammalia; Chiroptera; Pteropodidae. The record is from RNAcentral.